GAGGGUGAAGGGGUUGCAAUAAACUGGUGGCUGCGACUGUUUAAUAAAAACACAGCACUCUGCAAACACGAAAGUGGACGUAUAGGGUGUGACGCCUGCCCGGUGCCGGAAGAUUAAAUGAUGGGGUGCAAGCUCUUGAUUGAAGUCCCGGUAAACGGCGGCCGUAACUAUAACGGUCCUAAGGUAGCGAAAUUCCUUGUCGGGUAAGUUCCGACCUGCACGAAUGGCGUAACGAUGGCCACACUGUCUCCUCCCGAGACUCAGCGAAGUUGAAGUGUUUGUGAUGAUGCAAUCUACCCGCGGCUAGACGGAAAGACCCCAUGAACCUUUACUGUAGCUUUGCAUUGGACUUUGAACCGAUCUGUGUAGGAUAGGUGGGAGGCUAUGAAACCGGAACGCUAGUUUCGGUGGAGCCGUCCUUGAAAUACCACCCUGGUUUGUUUGAGGUUCUAACCUUGGCCCGUGAUCCGGGUCGGGGACAGUGCAUGGUAGGCAGUUUGACUGGGGCGGUCUCCUCCCAAAGCGUAACGGAGGAGUACGAAGGUACGCUAGGUACGGUCGGAAAUCGUGCUGAUAGUGCAAUGGCAUAAGCGUGCUUAACUGCGAGACCGACAAGUCGAGCAGGUGCGAAAGCAGGUCAUAGUGAUCCGGUGGUUCUGUAUGGAAGGGCCAUCGCUCAACGGAUAAAAGGUACUCUGGGGAUAACAGGCUGAUACCGCCCAAGAGUUCAUAUCGACGGCGGUGUUUGGCACCUCGAUGUCGGCUCAUCUCAUCCUGGGGCUGUAGCCGGUCCCAAGGGUAUGGCUGUUCGCCAUUUAAAGAGGUACGUGAGCUGGGUUUAAAACGUCGUGAGACAGUUUGGUCCCUAUCUGCCGUGGGCGUUGGAAGUUUGAAGGGGGCUGCUCCUAGUACGAGAGGACCGGAGUGGACGAACCUCUGGUGUACCGGUUGUGACGCCAGUCGCAUCGCCGGGUAGCUAUGUUCGGAAGAGAUAACCGCUGAAAGCAUCUAAGCGGGAAACUCGCCUUAAGAUGAGACUUCCCCGGGGACUUGAUCCCCUUGAAGGGUCGUUCGAGACCAGGACGUUGAUAGGUCGGGUGUGUAAGCGCAGUAAUGCGUUCAGCUAACCGAUACUAAUUGCCCGUAAGGCUUGAUCCUA
This 1159-nucleotide ribosomal RNA is filed under the name Burkholderia humptydooensis MSMB43. RNAcentral's name for it is "Burkholderia thailandensis MSMB43 large subunit ribosomal RNA". It matches the Rfam family "Bacterial large subunit ribosomal RNA", at positions 1764 to 2925 of the family's 2925-position model. Lineage: Bacteria; Pseudomonadati; Pseudomonadota; Betaproteobacteria; Burkholderiales; Burkholderiaceae. The record is from RNAcentral.